AAAUAAAUUGACAAAAUGACUAUAAAAAAUAAAAAGACUAAGCAAUCAAAUGCUACCGAAGUGUCCACAUCUAAAAGUGCAUUGAGUAGUGUUCAGAAAUCAAGCACGUCGACGUCUGUGCAGAAAUCAAGCAAUACCUUACAGAAGGUUAGCUCGGGUAAGAAGGUCCGCUACAUUGACGUUAAGGUCGAAGAGGACGACCCGCUUAUGAUUACUGAUAUCACCGAUCAUGCAUCUACGAGCGGUUCUAUUAUAUCAGAACACUACAACAGCCACCCGCACUACAUAAUAACGGAGGCACCAUCGAUUUCCGACUUAUCGCAAGUAAGAUCUCAUGAACAUAAUGUAAGCGACAUGGCGCAAGUGAACACAGGUGAGUUUGUUUCGACUUCUGAGUUACAAGAGUCCUCUACAUCUCACCAACAAAGCUCUAGAAGUGAAAUUCAUCAAACUUCAUCAUCUGUGCAACGCUCUGGUUCUAGUCACAGCCAGACAUUUGAUUCUACUGUUGACAACCAAACGCUUAAUACCGCAUUUAUAGACAACUCCUCACAUAAUGUUACAAGAUCUAGUAACAUCAGUAACAACAGUUUCUUGUCUAAAUCCCAAGGAGCAAGUGCUACAGAAUCUUUUAUUGAAUCAGAAAGAACGAAUCUGAUGAAUACUCAAGGAAGAAGACAAUUUCAUUCCAAUCGUGACAAUCUUGCAAAUAAAAUUACUUCGUCCUCUUUUGAUUCAAAAAAUAUGAAUAUUCGCGAGAAUGAACGUUAUAAUUCGCCUGACUCUCGAAGGGCACAGACUGUUAAGUCUGACAGUUCAAAUUUUUAUGGUGGUCAAGGUACUCUUGAUAAGAAUGUUAAGUCGACAGAGUUUAGCACCACGUCUCAUUCUAGUGAGACUAAAAGUAGUAAUGUGACAAAGUCGUCAUCGUCAUCCUAUGUUGUUGAAAUUGUUGAUGGAAAAGAACGGAUAGUCGACAGUUCUAAAAGAGAGUGGGGUGAUGCCAAGAACACGCAACAAAAGAGGAUUACGCUAGUAUAAGCGGUACUAACAUCAAGCCGGAGAGUGCAUAUAGUGUUCAAAAUUAUGAUAUGAAAUCAAAGUAUGAUACUGGAAAACCUGGAAUAAAACCAACGAGUGAAAAGACCGUUAAAGAAAAUUCUAAAUUUGUUAAGGAUGGAACUCAGAUCACGAGUCAUGAGAGCCUUAUUUCUCAUAAAGAUAAUGCAAUACAACAGCAGCAUAGCUCAACUACUCACGAGGAAUUAACUGCUAGGGAUAAUAUUCAGUCAGAUAGCGUGGAUAGAAGACACAUUUCUUUCCGUGACAACUCUCACUCCGAUAUAUCCAACCAACAUCAACAAAUUAUUUCAAAUGAAAAUCUACAGACUGAUACUAUUGACAAGAGUCAUACUGUUUCAGAGAGUCGAGAAAUUAAUACUCAUAACAGUGAAAAUACCGUUAACACUAGACGUGAUAUGAAUAAGACAGAUUCAUCAAAUUUCUAUGGAUAUGACUCCACAAUACAAAAUCAAUUGAAAAAAGUAGGUGAUAUUCUACAAAUAAGAGAUACGGAAAACCUGAACUAUUCCACUAAAAUAUUAAAAAGUAAUACGAGCAGUGCACACCAAGAAUCAACAUCAUCCUAUGUCUUCGAGGUUGUGGAUGGGAAGCAAAGAAUUGUUGAUAGCGCUCACAGAGAAUGGGUGGAUAGUAAAGAUCAUUCAACAUGAAAAGAGCCACUACAUAAGUGGAACAAACAUUAAACCAGAGCACGAAUAUACCCGACACGUUCUUGACAAAGAAUCAUUUUAUGACACUGGAAAGGAUGGCGUUCCUAAAAGUGGUUCAUAUGUAACAGAAGAAUCUGCUUUAUACAAAAAUGGAAAGGAGAUAGCGUCAACAAGUAACCAUACGGUGGUGAUUUUACAAGGAAACCUGCCAUAACAGAGCAUACUACCGACGGGGUCGAUGUCUAUGACCAACAAAUACAACAACAACAAAAGACAACAACAACAAAAGAACAAAAUCUGCAGUCUAAUACAAAUAUAUCUAAAUCAACAGAUACUCAAACACAUAUUCAGGAUUCUGAAACCGUAAAGCAAAGCACCGAUUUAUAACGAAAGAAAAACAAAAUCUUACGAAAGAAACAACAUCGUCCACUUCUCAAUCUAAAGACACUCUAACAACGUAUGAAAGGAGCACCGGUACUUGGAAUGGUAAAUUAUUUAUGAAAAUGAAGAUGACAGACCGAAGCGCCCGAAACAAAUGUCGCCUUUUGGGAAACCUGAGCAACCAAGGCAUCAUUUAAAGAGGCAAGAUACGGAAGAAAAUAUCAUAUUAUCAUCAAAGGACAUUAAAGAUUUCACUUCCAUAAGUGACCUUAGAAAAUUAUUGAAACUUCACAGUCGAAUAAAGACGUCAAAGUAAGCAAUAAGAAUAUUGUUAUCAGGAGAAAUAUUGAUGACAAAGUUUUAAAGGAAAUUAUUGAAACUGUUAAGAAAUAUCCCUUCAAACGGAUAGAUAAAGUUACUUUCGGUACUAAAAUUAACGAAGAUGUUAAAGAUUUAUACGAAGGCAUCGACACGGAAGAAACAACUAUUAUGCACACCACAACAGAGGGUGCAUUAAAGAAGUCAUUCGACAUUGAGAAAACCAGGAGCCAGAUUGAAGUGACGCGAUACAUAACUGAAAAUGGUGUCACCAGAAAAGAAACAACCUAUGAAGAUGCAAAAGAAGAUGAGAAGAUUAAGACAGAUGUUUUUGUCGACAAUAGUGCGUUAGACAUCAAAAAUUUGAAGGAUGUCCGCACUACGAAAGAUAUACGCGAAUACGACGUGUUGACCGAGCUAUAACGGACACUACGAGGGAGGACACCGUCGUCAGCACCGUCUACGAUGAACAUAUCCUAGACGACAGAAAAACAGUGCGAGAUGACAGGACCAUCAUCGAAGAGACUGUUCGUCGGAUGAGACCAGGCCAAAACAAGGUGGCCCCAAAAAACCUGAGAAAAUCAUAGAAAAGGAACAGUGCAUCUGUGAAAUCUGCACUUGUGGGCGUCACCGCUGCCCACACAACGAUGUCCCGGAGCCAUUGUUCGAUGUGGAGAAGCACACUACGAGCGUUGUCUCCGCAUACCAACAAGACUACGACGAAAAGUACGUAAAUCGUACAAGCGCAGUCUAUCAUGAAGAUCAUUUGAGACUUGAAGGGGAAUUUAUAGAACCUGAGCGACCGCACUGGCAGCCUGUCGAACGUCCCAAAGCCAAGAAACCAGAAGAUAAUCUGAGGCCUGAAGGUGAUUUCGAAAAAGACGUCCAGAAGAAUGGCGUCCAGGUGAAAGAGCUCCUAUUAAAAAACCAGAAGAUAAUUUAAAACCGGAGGGUGAUUUUGCAAAGCGAAAACCCGAGGAAUGGCGUCCGGGGGAUAGAGCGCCUGUUCGCCGACCUGAGGAUAACUUGAAACCUGAAGGGGACUUUGAAGACAGAAAACCACAGGAAUGGCAACCAGGAGACAGGGCUCCCGUUAAAAGACCACAGGAUAACCUCAAGCCAGAAGGUGAAUUUGAACAGAGGCGGCCUGAUGAAUGGAGACCGGGUGAUCGUGCUCCAACUCGUCGCCCUCAAGAUAAUCUAAGACCGGAAGGUGAAUUUACCACUCCUGAAAAAGACAGCUGGCGUCCCGCAGAUCGACAGAUACCUAAAAAACCAGAAGAUAACUUACGACCUGAAGGAGAAUUUGAAAGACCCAAACCGGAGGAAUGGCGUCCAGGAGACAGAGCGCCUGUUCGCCGACCUGAGGAUAAUUUGAAACCUGAAGGGGACUUUGAAGACAGAAACCACAAGAAUGGCAACCAGGAGACAGGGCUCCUGUUAAAAGACCACAGGAUAACCUCAAACCGGAAGGUGAAUUUGAACAGAGGCGACCUGAUGAAUGGAGACCGGGUGAUCGUGCUCCAACUCGUCGCCCUCAAGAUAAUCUAAGACCGGAAGGUGAAUUUACCACUCCUGAAAAAGACAGCUGGCGUCCCGCAGAUCGACAGAUACCUAAAAAACCAGAAGAUAACUUAAGACCUGAAGGAGAAUUUGAAAGACCAAACCAGAAGAAUGGCGUCCUGGUGAUAGAGCACCUGUUCGUCGACCUGAGGAUAACUUAAAACCAGAAGGUGAUUUUGAGCGUCGAAAGCCGGAAGAAUGGCAACCUGGAGAUAGAGCUCCAGUACGGCGGCCACAGGAUAACUUAAAACCUGAAGGAGAUUUUACAACUCCAGAGAAAACUUCUUGGAAACCUUCUGAACGUCAAAAACCGAAGAAACCUGAAGACAAUUUACGACCUGAAGGAGAUUUUGAACAAAGAAAACCAGAUGAGUGGCAGCCUGCUGAUCGUCCUGUACAGAGAAAACCUAAGGAUAACCUAAAACCUGAAGGUGAAUUUGAAACGCCGGAAAAAGAGCGAUGGAGGCCUGCCGAAAGACCCCAACAAAUGAAGCCUCAGGACAACUUACGUCCUGAAGGUGAUUUUGAACAAAGAAAACCAGAUGAAUGGCAACCAGCCGACCGUCCAGUUCAAAAGAAACCAAAAGACAACCUUAAACCGGAGGGUGAAUUUGAAACUCCAGAAAAGGAGCGUUGGCGUCCUGCUGAACGACCUCAACAGAAGAAACCUGAAGACAAUUUACGACCUGAAGGAGAUUUUGAACAAAGAAAACCAGAUGAGUGGCAGCCUGCUGAUCGUCCUGUACAGAGAAAACCUAAGGAUAACCUAAAACCUGAAGGUGAUUUUGAACAAAGAAAACCAGAUGAAUGGCAACCAGCCGACCGCCCAGUUCAAAAGAAACCAAAAGACAAUCUCAAACCAGAAGGUGAAUUUGAAACUCCAGAAAAGGAACGUUGGCGUCCUGCUGAACGACCGCAGCAGAAGAAACCUGAAGACAAUCUACGUCCUGAAGGUGAUUUUGAACAAAGAAAACCAGAUGAAUGGCAUCCAGCCGACCGCCCAGUUCAAAAGAAACCAAAAGACAAUCUUAAACCAGAAGGUGAAUUUGAAACUCCAGAAAAGGAGCGUUGGCGUCCUGCUGAACGACCGCAACAGAAGAAACCGAAAGACAAUCUACGUCCUGAAGGAGAUUUUGAACAAAGAAAACCAGAUGAGUGGCAGCCUGCUGAUCGUCCCGUUCAGAGAAAACCAAAAGACAACCUUAAACCGGAAGGCGAAUUCGAAACUCCAGAAAAAGAGCGAUGGCGUCCUGCCGAAAGACCCCAACAAAAGAAGCCUCAGGAUAACUUACGUCCUGAAGGAGAUUUUGAACAAAGAAAACCAGAUGAUUGGCAACCAGCAGAGCGUCCUGUUCAAAAGAAACCAAAAGAUAAUCUUAAACCGGAAGGUGAAUUUGAAACCCCUGAAAAGGAGCGUUGGCGUCCUGCAGAACGACCGCAACAGAAGAAACCUGAAGACAAUCUACGUCCUGAAGGUGAUUUUGAACAAAGAAAACCAGAUGAGUGGCGUCCUGCUGAUCGUCCUGUACAAAGAAACCAAAAGAUAAUCUUAAACCGGAAGGUGAAUUCGAAACUCCAGAAAAAGACAGAUGGCGCCCUGCAGAACGUCACAACCCAAAAAACCUCAAACCCAGAAAAGGAGCGUUGGCGUCCUGCAGAACGACCGCAACAGAAGAAACCUGAAGACAAUCUACGUCCUGAAGGUGAUUUUGAACAAAGAAAACCAGAUGAGUGGCGUCCUGCUGAACGACCUCAACAGAAGAAACCUAAGGACAAUUUACGACCUGAAGGAGAUUUUGAACAACGGAAACCAGAUGAAUGGCACCCAGCCGACCGUCCCGUGCAAAAGAAACCAAAAGAUAAUCUUAAACCGGAAGGUGAUUUUGAAACUCCAGAAAAAGAUCGUUGGCGUCCUGCUGAACGACCUCAACAGAAGAAACCUAAGGACAAUUUACGACCUGAAGGAGAUUUCGAACAACGGAAACCAGAUGAAUGGCACCCUGCCGACCGUCCCGUGCAAAAGAAACCAAAAGAUAAUCUAAAGCCUGAAGGGAAAUUUGAAAAACCGAAACAACCUGAAUGGCAACCCGCUGAACGGCCAAAGGCGAAAAAGCCAGAAGAUAACCUAAAACCAGAGGGAGAUUUCAAUACUCCCAAAAGAGACAAAUGGCAACCAGCUGAAAGGCCUGAAGUAAAGAAACCUAAGGAUAACUUAAAACCUGAGGGUGAAUUUGAAAAACCAAAACCUGAAGAAUGGCAGCCAGCUGAGAAACAAACCCCUAAAAAACCACAAGAUAAUCUAAAGCCAGAAGGUAAUAUGGAAAUUACUCGUCGUACUGAUUAUGUGGUUACAAAAGGUGAUCGCGCUGAUAUCGUAAAACAUGAGGAUCACUUGAAAAUGGAAGGUGUUAUUGAUACACGUCGUUCAAGAGAUGAUUACAAACGUAUUGAAAGAACAGAGAAAGUAGUUAUACAGAAGCAUGAAGAUAAUUUAAGGACUGAAGGUAAAUUUAUUGAUCUUCAGACUCGUGACGAUUAUAGAGCUACAAAGGGCGAGAGGGCGCCAGUAGUCAAACCUCAAGAUAAUCUUAAGACUGACGGUAAAUUUUAUACACCGGAAGUAGUUCCAUCUCAACCUGCUGAGAAACGCAAGCCUUUUAAACAUGUCGAUAAUAUUACUCUUGAAAGAGAGACGGACACACGGUUUAAACAAAACGUUGAUCGAGUGGAUAUUAUCCGAAGAGAAGAUAAUCUUAAAAUAGAAGGCGAAUUUAUAGAUAUGAAGCAACGAAAUGAUUAUAGCUCAGUUAAAGGAGACAGAACUGCAAUAGUUAAGCAUGAGGACAAUCUCAAAAUGGAAGGGACAAUGGAAAAUACACGUUCUUCAGACACCUACAGGGUUGUAAAGGGUCAAAGAGUAAAAUUGACAAGAAGAGAGGAUAAUCUUAAAAUUGAAGGUGUUUUCGAAGAUCAUGUUAGAAGAAAUGAUUUUAAUAAAACGACCAAGAAUGUAAAGUCUUCUAUAACAUAUGAUACUAGUGAUCAAAAAACUGUUAACGACAGGGUUCAAGGUUCUGUAUAUGACACUCGUUUACCGAAAGAACAAUAUGAAACUUCGCCAAUAAACAAGAUACCAUCUAAUAAAGAUACAACAUAUCUUAUUAACGAAAACGUUGAUUCAGGAUCUACAACUAAAGUCGUGCGGUACUAUGAAAGUGACAAUACACAUCAUGUAACAUCUUCUGACUCUUCUAAAUCUCAACGCACUGAGACCAUGAAAACUACUGAUAUUAAAAGACACAAAGAGGUCCUUAUGAUAAGGAAAAGCCAAAAGACGUCUAUGAUUCAGGUGAUUUUGUACCUGAGAAGGUUUAUCCAGAAGGUAGUGUCAAGCCAAAGGACGAAUUGGGCCAUCUGAAAAGACCGCAAUUGCAAACAAAUGAAAUAUCAAGCCCUAUACAGCCAAGGGAAAGUAAACGUCCUGAUGAUGAGACUGAUUCGUCAAAAAUGUCACGAGGUGAAAUUCACCGCCCUACGGGUUCACAAUGGCAACCGGGCGAUAGAAGCAGUCCGAUUAGACCAAAAGAUAGUUCUCCAAUUGAAGACGGUAAAGACACUCCAAGAAAAUCUGAUAGUGAAACAGAUUUUCCACAAAGACGAACCCAAUGGCAGCCAGGCGACAGAGCAAGCCCCUUCCGACCAAAGGAUAAUUUACAUAUUCCAGAUAUUAAAGGAAGUUCAAGAAGACCCAAUGGUGAGUCCGAUCAUCCUCAGAGAAGUCAAUGGCAACCUAGUGACAGAGCGAGUCCUAUUCGACCACAAGAUAAUUUGCAUGUUCGAGAUAGCAAAGACAUCUUAACAAGGCCGGAAGAUGGGUCAGAUUAUCCUCAAAACUCCCAAUGGCAGCCUGGCCAAAGAGCUACUCCAAUUCGGCCAAAAGAUAAUUUACAUACUCCAGACAAUAAAGACGUUACAAGAAAGUUUGAAGACCGAUCAGAUCAUCCUCAAAGACCUCAAUGGCAACCUGGUGAAAGAGCAAGUCCUAUUCGACCAAAAGACAAUUUACACACUCAAGACAAUAAAGAAUCACCGAAGAGACCCGAAUACGAAACAGAUUUAAGUAAACCAGAAAAAACAAGAGGAAUUUCUGGACCAGGUCAAGUAAGGCACAUUUCUGAUAUGAGUAAAUACGAUUCCAGGACUACUACUUCUACUGAUGAUAUCCAUAAGAUUGAUAGUAGCAAUCAGACUUUACAUACAUCAAAAGUAAGCAUGAGUGAUGUACGUCAAGAGAGCAAUGUGAAGACGACUCAUCGGAAAUAUCUUCUAAACAUACUAAUAUUCGUAGUUCUAAUGUAGAACAUUUUGAUCAAUCUAAAACCGGAACACAAACACAACAUUUCAUAACAAACAGGGAUAAGAAUGAAAGUGGUAGAUCAACUGAUGUUUUAAAACAAACGGAUAAUUUAUCACACCAAGACGUUAGCAGUCGUGAUCAUACUAAUCGUAUAAUUUCGAAGAAUACUACAGAACGCAACAUUAUAAAACAAGAUGUAAAACAAAGCAAAACUAUGUCAUCGGUAACCAAAACAAUGAAACAAGUGACGGAAAAGAAAUUGAUUGGAGGUAAAUGGGUAAAUGUAACAAGAAAUGUAGAAGUUUCUAACACCAGUCUCGGCGACACACAUUCAAAUAGAAAUGGUCACAUUGUUAGUUCCUCUACACCAAAUAAGCAGACAAACUCUAUGGAAAAAAUAGUUACCUCCGACAGCAGAAAUAACUUACAAAAUCAAACACAUUCUUCAAAUACAACGUAUAUUAUAGAAGGUAAACAUGAUGUUAAUCAUAAUGCAAACCAAUCCACACAGCGGUCUGUUUCUGAAAAGCAAUAUGUAAAUCAAAAUCUUCAAGGAAAAUCACGUAAAGCAAUCAUUUCAGAACAACAUGUUGAUUCCUCGUCAAGUCAAAAUAAACAAAUUGGACAAAAUAGUUAUGUGUCAUCUGAUGUUCGAUCCAGCGAACACAGCUCCAAGUCGGUGCAACAUGGAAGAGAAACAAUUCAUUCUAAUACAAAUAUAAAACAUGAUAACACAAAAAUAUACACCGAAGCAAAUGCUAAAAGAAACCAAUUUAAUGAAAGUCAUGACAUUUUAAACCAAAAUAUAAAUCAAACACAUUACAACACUCAAUCUGGUGGUAGUAAUGUUGAUGGAAGGUCAAGGAACGUGCUAUCCAGUCACACAGAGAAUAAUAUUUCAAGAUCAUCUUCAACUCACCAUUCUCACACAGUAAAUCGUAGCCAUUUGAGCGAUAGUGUGAAUAAAACAAGUAUGGAAUUCCAACGAGCUAUGCAUGGUGGUGGAGAAGUUUUAGUUAGCUCCAAUGAAAACACAGCACGUAUUGGUCACCACAAACGUACUUCCGACUUGGUGUCAGAUGCUUCUAGCACUAACGCGGUUCUACAUAGGAAGGGAAUAACCUCUACGACAGAAGCACAACAUUCGAUAAGUUCUACAGCUGCUGCUCAACGUAAAAGUAUAAUAAAUCUCAGUGACCGCGGUGAAUAUAUAAGCAAUUCAACCCAUAGUGCUGAUAGAAAAAGUAUUAGCUCCAUGCACCGAUCAGGUCGGGAUAACGCUGUAUCAUCACACAGCUCUGAAAAUGUCGAUGUGAGACGUCAGCAAAAGAGAGAUGGUGAAUCUACUUUGAUUAUCGAGCGUCAACCUAGAGUGGUAUCGAGAGACAAUCUGCGAGUUGGUGGUGAAUUUUAUGGUCAUUCUGAAGCCCGUUCCUACGGUAACUUUUCGAGGUCCGACCACACCGCGAGAUCUGAACGCACAGAAAGAGUAGAGCGGCAGACGAGGACUGGUACAACAUCGCAUUUCGUAUUAGGAGAUGGCAGUUCAAGCUACAAGAGAGAAUACACAACGCAUGUCCAUGGCACUUGUCCUGCCACACUGAUUGAAUCUCCCCGCACCCCGUUCAAGCAUACACGCGAUUCUCGCGAGCACAAAUUUUAUACGGCGAAAAUAACUCAGCAAAAGUCAUAAAAAGUACUAUAUAUCUGAAUAACUUUCCUAACAACAAGAAAAUAUCAUUCCUCACUUAUUAUUGCUAUAAAAAUAUAAAGAUGUAUUUAUUAAAAGUUAACAAUACUAGUCUUAAGAAUUAUAUCGUUGUGCCUCCUAAUUACAUAAUCGUUUAUGCAUAAUAUUGAUAAAAAAUGUAAUAUUCGUAACAUUUAUAUGUAUUGCUAUAUUUUUCUUUUUUUAAAACAUUGCCAUGUAAUAAAUUUUAUAUUUAAUA
RNA transcript from Danaus plexippus (monarch butterfly), 10301 nucleotides. It is a transcript of the gene named titin-like, with no coding region annotated. Lineage: Eukaryota; Metazoa; Arthropoda; Insecta; Lepidoptera; Nymphalidae. The record is from RefSeq and is a predicted model, not a curated record. The transcript has 7 exons.